UUAUUCCUACGGGGGGCAGCAGUAGGGAAUCUUUCACAAUGGGCGAAAGCCUGAUGGAGCAACGCCGCGUGCAGGAUGAAGGCCUUCGGGUUGUAAACUGCUUUUAUAAGCGAGAAAUAUGAUGGUAACUUAUGAAUAAGGAUCGGCUAACUACGUGCCAGCAGCCGCGGUCAUACGUAGGAUCCGAGCAUUAUCCGGAUUUAUUGGGUUUAAAGGGUGCGCAGGCGGUCUGUUAAGUCAGCGGUCAAAGCCCGGGGCUCAACCCCGGCCCGCCGUUGAAACUGGCAGUCUCGAGUUGGAGAGAA
RNAcentral lists this ribosomal RNA (305 nucleotides) under uncultured bacterium. RNAcentral's name for it is "bacterial SSU rRNA". It matches the Rfam family "Bacterial small subunit ribosomal RNA", at positions 333 to 656 of the family's 1533-position model. The record is from RNAcentral.